UCUGGUUGAUCCUGCCAGUAGUCAUAUGCUUGUCUCAAAGAUUAAGCCAUGCAUGUCUAAGUAUAAGCAAUUUAUACAGUGAAACUGCGAAUGGCUCAUUAAAUCAGUUAUCGUUUAUUUGAUAGUUCCUUUACUACAUGGUAUAACUGUGGUAAUUCUAGAGCUAAUACAUGCUUAAAAUCUCGACCCUUUGGAAGAGAUGUAUUUAUUAGAUAAAAAAUCAAUGUCUUCGGACUCUUUGAUGAUUCAUAAUAACUUUUCGAAUCGCAUGGCCUUGUGCUGGCGAUGGUUCAUUCAAAUUUCUGCCCUAUCAACUUUCGAUGGUAGGAUAGUGGCCUACCAUGGUUUCAACGGGUAACGGGGAAUAAGGGUUCGAUUCCGGAGAGGGAGCCUGAGAAACGGCUACCACAUCCAAGGAAGGCAGCAGGCGCGCAAAUUACCCAAUCCUAAUUCAGGGAGGUAGUGACAAUAAAUAACGAUACAGGGCCCAUUCGGGUCUUGUAAUUGGAAUGAGUACAAUGUAAAUACCUUAACGAGGAACAAUUGGAGGGCAAGUCUGGUGCCAGCAGCCGCGGUAAUUCCAGCUCCAAUAGCGUAUAUUAAAGUUGUUGCAGUUAAAAAGCUCGUAGUUGAACUUUGGGCCCGGUUGGCCGGUCCGAUUUUUUCGUGUACUGGAUUUCCAACGGGGCCUUUCCUUCUGGCUAACCUUGAGUCCUUGUGGCUCUUGGCGAACCAGGACUUUUACUUUGAAAAAAUUAGAGUGUUCAAAGCAGGCGUAUUGCUCGAAUAUAUUAGCAUGGAAUAAUAGAAUAGGACGUUUGGUUCUAUUUUGUUGGUUUCUAGGACCAUCGUAAUGAUUAAUAGGGACGGUCGGGGGCAUCAGUAUUCAAUUGUCAGAGGUGAAAUUCUUGGAUUUAUUGAAGACUAACUACUGCGAAAGCAUUU
Molecule: ribosomal RNA, 945 nt
Filed under: Candidozyma haemuli
Lineage: Eukaryota; Fungi; Ascomycota; Pichiomycetes; Serinales; Metschnikowiaceae
Also listed under: 1 other name
Description: SSU rRNA
Rfam family: Eukaryotic small subunit ribosomal RNA
Source: RNAcentral